UACGUAGGGGGCAAGCGUUAUCCGGAUUUACUGGGUGUAAAGGGAGCGUAGACGGCGCGGCAAGUCUGAAGUGAAAGGCAGGGGCUUAACCCCUGAACUGCUUUGGAAACUGGCAGUCUUGAGUACAGUAGAGGUGGGCGGAAUUCGUGGUGUAGCGGUGAAAUGCUUAGAUAUCACGAAGAACUCCGAUUGCGAAGGCAGCUCACUGGACUGCAACUGACACUGAGGCUCGAAAGUGUGGGUAUCAAACAGG
This 253-nucleotide ribosomal RNA is filed under the name uncultured bacterium. RNAcentral describes it as "partial 16S ribosomal RNA". It matches the Rfam family "Bacterial small subunit ribosomal RNA", at positions 524 to 776 of the family's 1533-position model. The record is from RNAcentral.